GCCUUCAGCCGGGAGGCGCAGGAGGCGCGGAGCCAAUCCAGCCGUCCUGCCGCCGUCCGCGCGGGCCGUCCGUCCCUUCGGGGCCCCCGGGCCCCGGGCCCGCGGCUCCGGGGGGCGGGCGGGGACCCCCGGGGCCCGCCGGCCGCCCGGGGGGUCGAGGACGCCGUCUGCCGGGCGCCUAGCAGCGGCCCCGGGCCCCCGCGCGGCGCGCGCGUCUCCGGAAGCCCGGCCUGGGGCGUACUGGGGCCGGGGCAGUGGCCGGGCCCGGGAGCCCCCGCCGGCCGCGGAGCUGGUGGGCAGCGCCGUGUGGCGCGUGGAGCGCGCGGGGGCCGGGGGCUGGCGCUGGGAGCGCGCCGUCGGCGUGGACUGCAGCGCCCCGGAACCGCGCUGCCUCUGGCUGCCCUGCCUCAGCCACAGCGACCGCCGCGCGCCCGGGCCGCGCCGGGCCAGGCUGCCACUGGGCCCAAGAGAUGGGUGCUCUCCUAGGCGCCCCUUCCCCUGGCAGGGGCCGAGGACGCUGCUGCUGUACAAAAGUCCCCAGGACGG
This 546-nucleotide unclassified non-coding RNA is filed under the name Homo sapiens (human). Its description in RNAcentral is "Rho GTPase activating protein 23 (ENSG00000273780.2)". Lineage: Eukaryota; Metazoa; Chordata; Mammalia; Primates; Hominidae. The record is from RNAcentral.